GCACAAGCGGUGGAUGAUGUGGUUAAUUCGAUGCAACGCGAAAACCUUACCCACCUUUGACAUGUACGGAAUCCUUUAGAGAUAGAGGAGUGCUCGAAAGAGAGCCGUAACACAGGUGCUGCAUGGCUGUCGUCAGCUCGUGUCGUGAGAUGUUGGGUUAAGUCCCGCAACGAGCGCAACCCUCGUCAUUAGUUGCUACAUUCAGUUGGGCACUCUAAUGAGACUGCCGGUGACAAACCGGAGGAAGGUGGGGAUGACGUCAAGUCCUCAUGGCCUUUAUGGGUAGGGCUUCACACGUCAUACAAUGGUCGGUACAGAGGGUUGCCAACCCGCGAGGGGGAGCUAAUCCCACAAAGCCGAUCGUAGUCCGGAUCGCAGUCUGCAACUCGACUGCGUGAAGUCGGAAUCGCUAGUAAUCGUGGAUCAGCAUGUCACGGUGAAUACGUUCCCGGGUCUU
RNAcentral lists this ribosomal RNA (457 nucleotides) under uncultured Comamonadaceae bacterium. RNAcentral describes it as "bacterial SSU rRNA". It matches the Rfam family "Bacterial small subunit ribosomal RNA", at positions 923 to 1382 of the family's 1533-position model. The record is from RNAcentral. Lineage: Bacteria; Pseudomonadati; Pseudomonadota; Betaproteobacteria; Burkholderiales; Comamonadaceae.